RNAcentral lists this transfer RNA (72 nucleotides) under Congriscus sp. Tht2. RNAcentral's name for it is "tRNA-Gly". It matches the Rfam family "tRNA". From Rfam's summary of the family: Transfer RNA (tRNA) molecules are approximately 80 nucleotides in length. Their secondary structure includes four short double-helical elements and three loops (D, anti-codon, and T loops). The record is from RNAcentral. Lineage: Eukaryota; Metazoa; Chordata; Actinopteri; Anguilliformes; Congridae.
AUUCUUCUAGUAUUAAUGCCAAUACAAGUGACUUCCAAUCAUUUAAUCUUGGUUAAACCCCAAGGAAGAAUA